This 465-nucleotide ribosomal RNA is filed under the name Vreelandella stevensii. RNAcentral describes it as "partial 16S ribosomal RNA". It matches the Rfam family "Bacterial small subunit ribosomal RNA", at positions 338 to 795 of the family's 1533-position model. The record is from RNAcentral. Lineage: Bacteria; Pseudomonadati; Pseudomonadota; Gammaproteobacteria; Oceanospirillales; Halomonadaceae.
CCUACGGGGGGCUGCAGUGGGGAAUAUUGGACAAUGGGCGAAAGCCUGAUCCAGCCAUGCCGCGUGUGUGAAGAAGGCCUUCGGGUUGUAAAGCACUUUCAGUGGGGAAGAAAGCCUUGGGGCUAAUACCCUCGAGGAAGGACAUCACCCACAGAAGAAGCACCGGCUAGCUCCGUGCCAGCAGCCGCGGUAAUACGGAGGGUGCGAGCGUUAAUCGGAAUUACUGGGCGUAAAGCGCGCGUAGGCGGUCUGAUAAGCCGGUUGUGAAAGCCCCGGGCUCAACCUGGGAACGGCAUCCGGAACUGUCAGGCUAGAGUGCAGGAGAGGAAGGUAGAAUUCCCGGUGUAGCGGUGAAAUGCGUAGAGAUCGGGAGGAAUACCAGUGGCGAAGGCGGUCUUCUGGACUGACACUGACGCUGAGGUGCGAAAGCGUGGGUAGCAAACAGGAUUAGAUACCCCAGUAGUC